This 487-nucleotide ribosomal RNA is filed under the name uncultured bacterium. RNAcentral's name for it is "bacterial SSU rRNA". It matches the Rfam family "Bacterial small subunit ribosomal RNA", at positions 33 to 507 of the family's 1533-position model. The record is from RNAcentral.
AGGAGACGCUGGCGGCGUGGAUUAGGCAUGCAAGUCGAACGGUAUCAUCCUUUCGGGGGUGAGAGAGUGGCGAACUGGUGAGUAACACGUAGGUUAUCUACCCUCAAGACGGGGACAACCCAGGGAAACUUGGGCUAAUACCGGAUGUGAGCAACUUUUAGUUGUUUGAAAGGUGGCGUAAGCUGUCGCUUGGGGAUGAGCCUGCGUCCUAUUAGUUAGUUGGUGAGGUAACGGCUCACCUAGGCAAUGAUAGGUAGGCGGCCUUAACGGGUGGUCGCCCACACUGGGAUUGAGAUACGGCCCAGACUCCUACGGGAGGCAGCAGUCGAGAAUAGUCUACAAUGGUCGGAAGACUGAUAGUGCGACGCCGCGUGAACGAUGAAUCCCUUCGGGGUGUAAAGUUCUUUUAUAUGUGAGCAGUGCUUCUUAUAUUAACAGUAUGGGGAGAGAGAUAUUAGCAUAUGAAUAAGCAACGGCUAACUCCGUG